This 279-nucleotide unclassified non-coding RNA is filed under the name uncultured fungus. RNAcentral's name for it is "sequence contains ITS2". The stretch from base 1 to 52 matches the Rfam family "5.8S ribosomal RNA", at positions 103 to 154 of the family's 154-position model. Lineage: Eukaryota; Fungi. The record is from RNAcentral.
AACGCACCUUGCGCCCGGUGGUAUUCCGCCGGGCAUGCCUGUCUGAGUGUCACGAUCACCGUCAACCGGGCCGCCCUCUGGGAUCGGUCUCGGCUUGGAAGCUGGGCGAGGGCCUCCAUCGGGGGCCCGCCUGAAAUGGCCAGAGCCUCAGGGCUUGUCGCGGUCUGACCGAGCGUUGUAGUUGCAGUCUUGCCUCGCUCGUUACGCGCUGCCCGUGGCCUUACGGAGUGAUUAGCGAAACGAGACCUCAGAUCAGGUAGGGCUACCCGCUGAACUUAA